CUUUUUGUGCAAAUGUAUAUAUAGGGGGGUGGUAGUACUCUUGGGGUAGACAGGCAUGUGCUGGGAUGGCAUGCCAAGGCAUGUGCUGGGAUGGCAUGCCAAGGCGUGUGCUGGGAUGGCAUGCCAAGGACAAGCAUGUGCUAGGAAGGCAUGCCAAGGCCAAGACAAGGCCAUGGCAAGCACAUGCAUCGCGAGGGAGAUGAGAUGGUUACGUUUACCCCAAGAGUGCCCAAGGGAAGGAAGGUGUCAAACGCAUGCUGAGCCCCACUUCGGUAGUUUGGCACCCCCAUAGGCAUUUAGCCAAGCAUGCCUAUGGGAAGGUCUGUUGAGCUUGUCAGCUAUGUCGGGUAUUAUUUGACGGAUGAGAUGAUGGCACAAGGAUGCUUGCUCUAAGGUAACGUUUCGGCAACACAGCCAGCCCGCAAUUGCUAGUUCAAGCGGGUGGAAUCUGCCUAUAGGGGUGUUGCUUGCUUGCUGUGGAUUUGGGACACGCCCAAUAUCUAUCAUCGACCCAACGAAGUGCUCAACAUGGGUUGCUGAGGGCUAUUUUGGCACAGAUGCUUCACUCGUUUGCUUGGCUUUGAUAAAUGUUUAGAUGUCAUGAUGCUUGGGAUCCAAUAAAUAUAUGUGGGAAGCUGAGAGCUGGAACCCAAUGUCAUUCACCAGACGGUUUAGCUUCGUCAGUGUGUAUAAUAUGUCAUUGAACCCCAAUCCUCGAUGCCGACCUGAUUAUGACUUUUGGAUCGCAAUUAUCAUGGCUAUCAAAAACUGAGUAGGAGUCAUGGAAUAAGUGAACAAUUUGUGGCCUUUAUAGCUGUCAGCUUUCGCAUCGCCCGGUGUGUUUGGGAAUCGCUUUGUGCAUUUGGUUGCUUGCCGUGCCUCUUGGCAUACGGUUGGUGCCACUUGCCGGGUGGUUUUCGGAAACAUCCACCGUAAAGGUGCAUGAGUGGUGUUUGGUUUGUUACGGGUGGUUGGCUCUUUGCUUGCGCAACAACUGCCACCCGACUUACCUCUUCAGUUUUUGCCUAGGCUUGUAUAGCCUAAGCAGAUUGUGGGUUUCCUGUGUUGCCUACCUAUGUCACGGAAUUGUCCCGAUCGGUCAAAGUUGCUUUCGUCUUGUGUCGUCUUGAUGGCAUAAGAUGAACCAUGAAGCUGUCUCUUUGCACCGCAUCGUUAAUGCAUGCAUUGAUGUUGUGGCCCAUUGAGCAUUGCUUGGUACCUCGGAUACGGAACCUUAUGUGGGCAUGGGUCCUUGGGGAUCCUUGUUCUGCCCUCGUUUAGCGUUCGCGCUUCUCUUAGAAUGACUGCCCAGCCGGAAUGGGAAGCCAUUCUGGAUGGGCAUCGUCAAAGAGGAAUGC
This 1358-nucleotide unclassified non-coding RNA is filed under the name Helianthus paradoxus. RNAcentral describes it as "partial external transcribed spacer". Lineage: Eukaryota; Viridiplantae; Streptophyta; Magnoliopsida; Asterales; Asteraceae. The record is from RNAcentral.